Molecule: long non-coding RNA, 2972 nt
Organism: Cavia porcellus (domestic guinea pig)
Lineage: Eukaryota; Metazoa; Chordata; Mammalia; Rodentia; Caviidae
Exons: 3
Source: RefSeq, a predicted model, not a curated record
UUCCUGUCUGUGUUUCCUGGUUGCCAGGAGGUGCUCGCUCUCCUCUACCAGGCCACUUUCGCCUCGGAGUCAGCUUGAACCUGAACUGAAACUCUGAGAUUUUCCUUUCAGAAAGGGGCCACUUAAGGCCAUGUCAGACUGAAUUCAAUGGUCCUGAGCACAUCGCGAGGGCCACGAACAUUGAACAAAAGCAUUGGAAAAAGAUGGUGGACUGAGGACACUAUAUUUAGAACCAGUGCCUACCUUCAACCAAAGUCCACUGAAAACCAGGAAGCAAAAUGCAAAGAAAGAAGCAGAGGCAGAAUGAGAAGGGUUAAUGAAGAAUGCGUGACACACAGUCUUAUGAGGAACAUCUAACUCUUCCCUGCUUACCUGCCUAGGAAAAAAAAUGGGCACCAGUGCUAACUAGUGAAAGACAGUAACCUAUGAUGGGUUGACUGGGUUUGGGGUCAAUGUAUGUGAUCGAUAAGUAACACAAGUGGCUAUAACUUUUCAUUAUAAGAUCUUACAGUCAAACCAGCUUCAAGUACCACACAGUGAUUAAAUCUAUUUAUUUUAUUAAGUAAUAAGUUAUUUCAUAAGAAAUAGAUCAAUCUAAAGGAAAGGUCUAGGAAUAAAAAUUUCCUAGUGCUAUCAGAAAUUAGUAGUGUUUUUAAGAAGUAAAUGUAAGUGACUUCGCCCAAUAUUUUCAUCUGUAAAAUGGAACAAUCAUGAUGUUUAUGAGGAUCAAAUAAGACAGUGGCUAUGAUCUUCUUUUCAAAAGUUAAACAAGCUCUACAAAUGUCAAGUCCUGCCACUUUUCGAUGCUGUCUUACAAAACUAGUCCUUGAGUAUGCACCAGGCAAUUGGCACAGCUUCUCCUUAUGACUAUCUUUCCUCUACACAUGUAGCACUUCACUCAAAACCGACUUAAACAUCAUAUACAAGGGAUAGAUAAGCACUUAGAAAAUCCAAAUGAAUUGGCAGUUCCACUGGAUGUUAAAAAGAAAGACCUAGAUUCACGCUAAACUUUGCUUUCGUGGUGCAUAACUCUCCUUUCCAAAGGUCCUAUUAACUUCAAAGGGAGCUCCGUGCAUGUAAAUCAUUAUAUUUAUUGGAUGCGCCAACUCCUUCUUAUCCUCUGGGCACAAUUAGAAAUAUCAUAGAAAUACGAAUGUCAGAGACUUGGAUCCAUAUUUGAUAUUCUAUGGGAAAUUUCCCAUCGUUACAGAUGUUAAAAAUUCUGCCCAAUGAUCCAGUUGUGAUUUUGCAGUAUUUUUUUCCUAUAUCCUUGGAAUUACUUUUUCUCUGAUUUUAGAAUAUUUGUCUUACAUUAAAGGGAAAAUAUUCUCUAGUGAUAAAACCUUGGCUGUUGUACAACUUGGUGUAGUAAUGAAAAUGAAGACUGCACUCCCUUCUCUUUAAAGGAACAGUUAGUGCUUCCCCGAGAUUAUCCCGUUAAUAGUUAUAGCAAAUGUUUCUGCUUCAUGUUCACUCUGGGAACUGCUAUUAGUGUCUGUGUGUAGGAAUUGAAUUCCUGGGUGCUCAGUUUAAUAUUACACACACCAAGCCACUCUGUAAUUUCAGUGUUCAUUGUAAAUUUAGGCCAUUACCAAUUUUCUUGUUAGAAUCUAGGUUUCCCCAGUUGAAAUAUGUAUGAUCAGUAAAAAUUCAUGUCAGAUGCCUCUAAUCCUGCACUUUUUACACUAAGUUGUUGUUUCUUCACUUUAAAUUCAAGAGUUUCAUGGCUUAUGAAAGAAGUAUCUCUUAUAUUGACUAAGACAAAGAACUUAAUGUCCCCACUCUGUCCUGUCAGUGAAUACGAAGACCUUCUGUUAACAGACAUGGUGUCUCAGUAACAUUAUAUAUGUGUCUGUGUGUGUGCAAGCAUAGAAAAGCAUCUAAGAGAGUGUGUUAGGUCUCUAAGUUUUUUCAAGGUGACAAUAUGGAGAAAAAGUCAAAUUUAUGAAAGAGAAAAUAAUAAUUAGAUGCUAGAAAAAAGACUUUACUGAAAAUGUAUCCACAUGUGAUAGGUUGUUUGAAAGAUAUACUUCUUUUAUAAUGUUUUGAUAAGGAAUAUAUUAAAAAGAUUCAUUCUCACUAGCUUAUAGACAAACCAUAUCAAAGUAAUUUGUAUCCAUUGAAUUAUUCCCAAGAAAUAAAUAUGCAAGAACAGUCUAAUUUUAGUAGGUGUUUAUAGAACAAAAUAAUCCAAAGUAUACAUAAAAAUCAAAUUCCUAGUGAAAUGUGUGUAAGUAGGUUUAUUUUGAAAGGAAAAAUCCUACUCCCAGUGUCAUAACCAAUUAAAUUCUCCAGGUAAUGACCCCAUUUGCAUAGUGAGUGGAACCCACAAGUGGGAAUUUUAAUGGGUACACCUCCUGAGUACUGUAAUUGAGAGUGACACAACUUGAACUAGUUUUGUGCUUACCCCACUGAAAAUUCUACUCAUAUUAUUUUUAAUGUCAAGCUACAAGUCAAAUUUCAAGAUGAUGGAUUUGUUCUUUUUUAAGCACUGAGUUUGAAUAAAAGAAAUGCUUUAAUUCUGUUAUGCAUUGCAGAUCUUUGCUUUAACUAAUCUGUAGUUCUGAUUCUCACCAUUGCUUCAUUUUCUUCAGUGAUUGGAAUUUAAUUUUAUUCAUUAAUUUAUGAAUAAUUAGAUAAAAAAUAAUGUCUUCAGCAGCUAAAUUGCUUUUGGAUUGCAAUUUAAUGUAUUUUUGCCAGAAUAUGUAUUAUAAACUGGCAUAAUAGUUUACUGAAAUGUAAUUGCGUAAAUAUGCCCAAUUAUUCUUUCUGAUGAUCUAAGAAAACCUAAUAUAAUAUGUAUUCUUGGGUAGUUCACUUUUCCUGCACCUCAAUGCCAAUAUAAUGCAGUUUCUGCAGGGUUGAUCAGAGAUGCCUUGUCAUCUGAAGGUAUUACUUUGAAAGAUACUCUCCUCUCUCAGGCACUAUUCAUGCCCUUGAAAGAAUUGUGCAUUCCGAGUGAGGGAUCCUAU